Molecule: ribosomal RNA, 170 nt
Filed under: Triticum aestivum (bread wheat)
Lineage: Eukaryota; Viridiplantae; Streptophyta; Magnoliopsida; Poales; Poaceae
Description: rRNA SSU_rRNA_eukarya
Rfam family: Bacterial small subunit ribosomal RNA
Source: RNAcentral
ACCAAAGGGUGAACACAUGUGCUACAAUGGCAAUGACAAUGGGAAGCAAGGCUGUAAGGCGGAGCGAAUCCGGAAAGAUUGCCUCAGUUCGGAUUGUUCUCUGCAACUCGGGAACAUGAAGUUGAAAUCGCUAGUAAUCGCGGAUCAGCAUGCCGCGGUGAAUAUGUACC